Molecule: ribosomal RNA, 469 nt
Filed under: uncultured bacterium
Lineage: Bacteria
Description: bacterial SSU rRNA
Rfam family: Bacterial small subunit ribosomal RNA
Source: RNAcentral
CGCUGGCGGCAUGCUUUACACAUGCAAGUCGAACGGCAGCGCGGACUUCGGUCUGGCGGCGAGUGGCGAACGGGUGAGUAAUAUAUCGGAACGUACCCAAGAGUGGGGGAUAACGUAGCGAAAGUUACGCUAAUACCGCAUACGAUCUAAGGAUGAAAGUGGGGGAUCGCAAGACCUCAUGCUCCUGGAGCGGCCGAUAUCUGAUUAGCUAGUUGGUGAGGUAAGGGCUCACCAAGGCCACGAUCAGUAGCUGGUCUGAGAGGACGACCAGCCACACUGGAACUGAGACACGGUCCAGACUCCUACGGGAGGCAGCAGUGGGGAAUUUUGGACAAUGGGCGCAAGCCUGAUCCAGCAAUGCCGCGUGAGUGAAGAAGGCCUUCGGGUUGUAAAGCUCUUUUGUCAGGGAAGAAACGGUAGAGGCUAAUAUCCUUUGCUAAUGACGGUACCUGAAGAAUAAGCACCGGCU